This 547-nucleotide ribosomal RNA is filed under the name Fusarium oxysporum f. sp. cepae. RNAcentral's name for it is "eukaryotic LSU rRNA". The stretch from base 181 to 334 matches the Rfam family "5.8S ribosomal RNA". Lineage: Eukaryota; Fungi; Ascomycota; Sordariomycetes; Hypocreales; Nectriaceae. The record is from RNAcentral.
UUCCGUUGGUGAAACCAGCGGAGGGAUCAUUACCGAGUUUACAACUCCCAAACCCCUGUGAACAUACCACUUGUUGCCUCGGCGGAUCAGCCCGCUCCCGGUAAAACGGGACGGCCCGCCAGAGGACCCCUAAACUCUGUUUCUAUAUGUAACUUCUGAGUAAAACCAUAAAUAAAUCAAAACUUUCAACAACGGAUCUCUUGGUUCUGGCAUCGAUGAAGAACGCAGCAAAAUGCGAUAAGUAAUGUGAAUUGCAGAAUUCAGUGAAUCAUCGAAUCUUUGAACGCACAUUGCGCCCGCCAGUAUUCUGGCGGGCAUGCCUGUUCGAGCGUCAUUUCAACCCUCAAGCACAGCUUGGUGUUGGGACUCGCGUUAAUUCGCGUUCCUCAAAUUGAUUGGCGGUCACGUCGAGCUUCCAUAGCGUAGUAGUAAAACCCUCGUUACUGGUAAUCGUCGCGGCCACGCCGUUAAACCCCAACUUCUGAAUGUUGACCUCGGAUCAGGUAGGAAUACCCGCUGAACUUAAGCAUAUCAUUAAGCGGAGGAA